Molecule: ribosomal RNA, 295 nt
Filed under: uncultured bacterium
Lineage: Bacteria
Description: partial 16S ribosomal RNA
Rfam family: Bacterial small subunit ribosomal RNA
Source: RNAcentral
GACAAUUAAAGUUUCGGCGGUAAGAGAUGAGUAUGCGUCCUAUUAGCUAGUUGGUAAGGUAACGGCUUACCAAGGCAACGAUAGGUAGGGGUCCUGAGAGGGAGAUCCCCCACACUGGUACUGAGACACGGACCAGACUCCUACGGGAGGCAGCAGUGAGGAAUAUUGGACAAUGGAGGCAACUCUGAUCCAGCCAUGCCGCGUGCAGGAAGACUGCCCUAUGGGUUGUAAACUGCUUUUAUACAGGAAGAAACACUCGGACGUGUCCGAGCUUGACGGUACUGUAUGAAUAAGC